RNAcentral lists this ribosomal RNA (1153 nucleotides) under Alcaligenes faecalis. RNAcentral describes it as "bacterial LSU rRNA". It matches the Rfam family "Bacterial large subunit ribosomal RNA", at positions 241 to 1435 of the family's 2925-position model. Lineage: Bacteria; Pseudomonadati; Pseudomonadota; Betaproteobacteria; Burkholderiales; Alcaligenaceae. The record is from RNAcentral.
GAGUAUGGCGAGCGAAAUCGGAAGAGCCUUUACGUUUUAGCAUGCAAGAUAGUCGAACGGAAUGGAAAGUCCGGCCGUAGCAGGUGAUAGCCCUGUAGAUGAAAUCUUGUGUGUGGAACUAAGCGUAAGACAAGUAGGGCGGGACACGUGAAAUCCUGUUUGAAGAUGGGGGGACCAUCCUCCAAGGCUAAAUACUCGUGAUCGACCGAUAGUGAACCAGUACCGUGAGGGAAAGGCGAAAAGAACCCCGGAAGGGGAGUGAAAUAGAUCCUGAAACCGUAUGCAUACAAACAGUAGGAGCCUCCUUGUGGGGUGACUGCGUACCUUUUGUAUAAUGGGUCAGCGACUUACAUUCAGUGGCAAGGUUAACCGAAUAGGGAAGCCGUAGCGAAAGCGAGUCCGAAUAGGGCGAUUCAGUCGCUGGGUGUAGACCCGAAACCAGAUGAUCUAUCCAUGGCCAGGUUGAAGGCACGGUAACACGUGCUGGAGGACCGAACCCACUAAUGUUGAAAAAUUAGGGGAUGAGCUGUGGAUAGGGGUGAAAGGCUAAACAAAUCUGGAAAUAGCUGGUUCUCUCCGAAAACUAUUUAGGUAGUGCCUCAAGUAUUACUGCGGGGGGUAGAGCACUGUUAUAGCUAGGGGGUCAUGGCGACUUACCAAACUAUGGCAAACUCCGAAUACCCGCAAGUACAGCUUGGGAGACAGAGCACCGGGUGCUAACGUCCGGACUCAAGAGGGAAACAACCCAGACCGCCAGCUAAGGUCCCGAAUUAUCGCUAAGUGGGAAACGAAGUGGGAAGGCAUAGACAGUCAGGAGGUUGGCUUAGAAGCAGCCAUCCUUUAAAGAAAGCGUAAUAGCUCACUGAUCGAGUCGUCCUGCGCGGAAGAUGUAACGGGGCUAAGCGAUUAACCGAAGCUGCGGGUGUGCACUUUUAGUGCACGCGGUAGGAGAGCGUUCUGUAAGCCUGCGAAGGUGGCUUGUAAAGGCUGCUGGAGGUAUCAGAAGUGCGAAUGCUGACAUGAGUAGCGAUAAAGGGGGUGAAAAGCCCCCUCGCCGUAAGUCCAAGGUUUCCUGCGCAACGUUCAUCGGCGCAGGGUGAGUCGGCCCCUAAGGCGAGGCAGAGAUGCGUAGUCGAUGGGAACAGGGUUAAUA